Molecule: ribosomal RNA, 433 nt
Filed under: uncultured bacterium
Lineage: Bacteria
Description: partial 16S ribosomal RNA
Rfam family: Bacterial small subunit ribosomal RNA
Source: RNAcentral
AGCGAACGCUGGCGGUAGGCCUAACACAUGCAAGUCGAACGAACUCUUCGGAGUUAGUGGCGGAUGGGGGAGUAACACGGCGGAACGUGCCGUUAGGCUCGGAAUAACUCAGGGUCACGUGUGCUAAUACCGAAUGUGUUCUUCGGGGGAAAGAUUUAUCGCCUUUGGGGCGGCCCGCGUCGGUUUAGCCAGUUGGGGAGGUAAAGGCGCAUCAAGGCGACGAUAAGUAGCUGGUCUGAGAGGAUGGGCAGCCACAUUGGGACUAGGACGCGGCGCAAAAUACUACGCGAGGCAGCAGAGGGGAAUCUUGCGAAAUGGGGGAAGGGAUGACGCAGCCAUGCCGCGUGAAUGAUGAAGGUCUUAGGAUUGUAAAAUUCUUUCACCGGGGACGAUAAUGACGGUACCCGGAGAAGAAGCCCCGGCUAACUUCGUG